Molecule: ribosomal RNA, 253 nt
Filed under: uncultured bacterium
Lineage: Bacteria
Description: partial 16S ribosomal RNA
Rfam family: Bacterial small subunit ribosomal RNA
Source: RNAcentral
UACGUAGGGGGCAAGCGUUGUCCGGAUUCAUUGGGCGUAAAGAGCGUGUAGGCGGCUUGGUAAGUCCGCUGUGAAAGUCCAGGGCUCAACCCUGGAAAGCCGGUGGAAACUGUCAAGCUUGAGUCCGGAAGAGGCGAGUGGAAUUCCUGGUGUAGCGGUGAAAUGCGCAGAUAUCAGGAGGAACACCAAUGGCGAAGGCAGCUCGCUGGGACGGUACUGACGCUGAGACGCGAAAGCGUGGGGAGCAAACAGG